This 3406-nucleotide long non-coding RNA is filed under the name Solanum tuberosum (potato). Its description in RNAcentral is "long non-coding RNA (STUB_LNC001576)". Lineage: Eukaryota; Viridiplantae; Streptophyta; Magnoliopsida; Solanales; Solanaceae. The record is from RNAcentral.
GGAGAGACAUCCACUCCUUCACAAGUAUUCAGAAGUCUCUUUUCUCCAAACUUGAAUUGAAGGCCUGCUCAUUAACUUCAUCUUCUCAGCUGGGUAUGCAUUUUUAGGUCAGCUUUUGUUUCAUUAUUUGCCCUAAUCUACUCUUGAAAAGAGAUUAAAGUUUACAAUUUCAUAAUUGAGUUUGAGAUUAAGGCGUACAAAUUAUUGUUGUAUUCUUAUAUAUAUUCAAAUUUUGGCGCAAGUGGAAGAGGCGUUGUCCAUGGUUUACAUAUACAGAUCCCCGAUCAUGUUUGUGGGAUGUGGUUAGUUCUACACACGGAAAAUUCAGUUUAGUUUUUUCUCCCAAUUUUUUCUCUUGGUUCUGUCAUAUUUUUUCAAUUUUAUGAGUUAAGUUCAAGUCUGCUAUAGUAAUUGUUCUGCCUUAACUCUCUCUAUGUUCUUCCACAUUCAUUUUCAUUUUUGGAUCCAACGAAGACCUCAAAAUUUAUGUCGGUAUUUUCCUUCAUUGAAUUACUUUUUUUUAUCUUCUUCUCAUUGUGUAGAUGCCCUUUGAAUCUUGAACUUUCUUCUAGGAAAAAGUGUUUGAUUGGUAGUAGUGAUGGACUACUCUUUCUUUUUUUAUCUUUAUCGCAUAAAGAUAGACUGCUCCCUUCUCCGGUAUCAGAAAGAACUUGGACACUCUACAAGACAAAUUCAAGUGCAGUGGCAGAUUUUCUUGCCUCUUUUCUAACAAUCGCAAUAGGUACUAUCAUGCUUUCAUUUCAAAAUUAGCUUUAAUGUUGGAAAUUCGAGUAUCCUGAAUAACAAUUGAUAGUUUUUACUGAACGGCUCUAAAUGUCUAUAUACCUAGCUUACUAAUUGUCUUCAAGUUUGAUGUAAAGACUAAAGACUGACUGAACAGUACAGUGAAGGAUGUUUGCUUAAAGAAAUGAAUAAUAGACCUAUUUUCUAGAGGGAAGUGUCGAUACAUAUACGGGUUAAUUAAGAUUGCGGCUCUAUUGACUAACUUUGAUUCUUGAAUCUAAACUUAGUGCAACAUUCUAAUAAAGAUACUCCUUUGAUGAUGAAUGAAGAAUGACAAUGAUAUUUCUAUAUAGGCUAAUAUCGCACUCUAACUUAUCACCAUUUUCUAACAUACAGAGACUUUUUUUGUCUAUUGAAUUUGUUUUCUCCACUGUUUUUAAAUCAGUCUCUUAUGUCUUUCAUGCUAGCUACUAAGAGAGAACCAUGUAGCUAUUGUUGACUAAUACUGAUUCUCUGCUUAUCUUCUACUACUACUAAUCAUGAUAAAAAAAAUGUAGUUUGGUGUACACAUUAGGUGUCGGUAACUUUUUUCCUUCAAACUAUUCCAGCGAAGAAGGCAAGUGUUAGAGCAACAGUAAAAUUGUCUCUAUCUGACCUAUGGUCACUGGUUCAAGUCAUGGGAUCAACCAUUUAUUCUUGUGUCAAGGUAGGUUGCCUACAUCCCGCCAACAUUAUAUUCCAUAGAGCUUGUGUGCACUUACCAAACUACCAUGCCCCUCCGUCCACAACAAUUAGCACACACACCUAAUAACAAGGACAUCACAGUAAAAUUACUUUGUUAUCGUAAUCGAAUAGACCCCAUGAAAUAUAGCUAGACUGAUUAUUUUUUUCUUUAACUUCUUUAAUAACAAUUAAGAUUCUACUUGACUAAUAGUAUAUGGGCUUCCUCUGUUCUCUUUUCCAUCAUAAAAUUUUAUUUUUUCAUGUUGCUUCUAAAUUAAAACUUGUAUCCUUUUAAUUCUAAUCUUUUAUCCUUUUAGGUGAACCAAGAAAAUAAAAAAUGUUGGAUGCAUAAAAAUAUAAGCUAUAAUUAAUCUCUCUUUUUCGAAGACAAACGCCCUAAGCUCUAAAUUUUGGGGGACCUAAUAUUUUUAUCAAGAAGAAGAUAUAUGAUGUGCACGUUAGAGGGAUAGUUUAUUGUCUAGCUAUUGAAAAGUAAUACCACAACCAGGUAGUCAUUAUGGAGUAUUUCAAACUGUGUCCAAGGGAAAAAAACAUAAGCACAUGAGAGGUUCACAAGAAGAAGGAAAUAGUCCAGGUUCGUGUCAUUUCUUAUUUUGCUAUGACACAAAUAAUGAUUACCCUGACAUGUAUACAUGUAGCUAUUUUUUUCGCUCAAAUAGUUGUUUUGUUCUAUGGCUUAGCCAUGAAAUACUGUUAUUUGGGUGCUUUAAAGAUCAUAGUUCGUCUUCACGAGCUCACUUGAAUGUUUGAAGAAUUUCAUACUAUUUGGAGUGGUGAGGAAACAUAUUCCUUAGCUAGAUUGUGUUAUUACCAGGAUAACAAAUAUCUUAUUGAUUUGGUUAUCGGUUUGAGGUGUUAACAAACUGAUAAACCGAAUCAGUAAUUCACAAAACGGAUCGAACCGAUCGAUAAGCACCCCUAUUAAGUCCAUGGAAUUAACAACUUAACAUAGUGGUAGGUUUAAAGAAGCCAAGUACCUGCUUUUGACAGAAGAUUUCUUUAGGAGGAAUUUAGUUGUCUUUUAAAUGCUUGGCCAGAUUUUUUUUUUGCUUUGGAAUUAGCUAAUUUUGAGUUUUUCUUUUACACUUUCUAUUAUAAUCCUUUUCCUUUGUGGUAUGUGUAAUUGCAGGUUCAACUUAAAAGCUAAGUUGGACAAACAUCUCAAUCUUGAAUAUUCAUCUUCUGCAAUCAUUUUGUGCCUCACUUCGGAGUGUACCUUAAUUUUUUCUCCAUUCUUGCACCAGACUGUUCUAUUAUUUAUGGUGAGUUUCGUUUGAAUUUUGUUUCCUCUUUUGUGUUUGUAUUGUAUCGACUAAUAUGCACAUGUAGAGCUAUUUCUUCUUAUCUCUUGCUCCGAUCUUUUGUAGUUCAUGUGAAUUUAGUUCAUUGUGGGAUGAAUUGAACUUCAAUCUCUGAAAAUAAGUGUUAUCUAUCUUCUUAUAUUUCAAUACUCUAUUUUAGUUGUUGUUUUCCUUUUUGGUAUGUGUAUGUGUUCGUUAAUAAAAGUUUUUGUUUGUUCUUUCUUAAAAAUAUAAGAAGCUAUUUUCAUAUGUCGCAAAAUUAAAUAACAUAGUGCUUUUGGAAGGUUCAAAUUCCAGUGGAGCUAGAUCAAAACACUAUAGGUAUUUUUUUCCCUAUUUGCUUAAAGUUGGUGAGUAGAGUUACCAGAUACUUAUAUUGCUUCAUUGUCUAGGUUAGUGUAAGGUGGCUUGGACACUGCAAUUGGACAACCCUAUGAAUAUUCGAUCAUAUCUUCUAACUCCCCAACCAUUCAAAUUUCUCCCAAGAAUAAUAUUACGUCAGUUAUUGCUUUAUAUACUUUGAUAGACAAUAUUUUCCUUCAUGUUGAACUGCUCCAAUGGAUCUAAAAUUCAAAUGACAAGCAAAACAAGUUUUUCACAAACUACAGGACUAAAAU